UAUGCCCCGCGUCAAGGAUCAACUUCGAUGAUGAUAAGUUGGCCCAUGACUGGAGGUAUAGC
This 62-nucleotide microRNA precursor is filed under the name Pristionchus pacificus. RNAcentral describes it as "microRNA ppc-mir-8255 precursor". Lineage: Eukaryota; Metazoa; Nematoda; Chromadorea; Rhabditida; Neodiplogasteridae. The record is from miRBase by way of RNAcentral.